UAGAAACAACAGGCCAGCAGGAGCAGCUAUCAGAGCAGUUUGCCAUUUCCUGUUGUCCUGAUCUCUCUUGUGGAUACUGGUGCAGGGGAACCAGGAGUGCAAUACUGUUGCUUCCAUCCCAAAGGCCACCUGGACAAUCAGGAUGAAUCCCACUGAGUGUCAACAAGCAAUAUUCUACUGCUAUGAAGGGAUGCUUCAUUUUAGCUUGACAGAUAGAAAUCAGAGCCUUUCAAUGGAAUGUGCACAGAUGGUGUGUGGCUUAUGCCUUGAAGACAGGAAACAUGAACUUAUCCAGCGAAGACAGAAAACAUGAACUUCAGCUUUUUAGAAAGAAAAGCAGUUGUUGAUGGCAUGUGCAGAUAAGAAGCAGGUGUGCAAUGUGCACAGUGAGGUGGAGUCUCAAAGACUUCUUGAGCUUCUCACCAAAAUAUGAAUGACUGAAAAUAUUGUCACUACUUUCAAAAACUUGCAUAUUUGCUUAGUUUAUCCUAUGGUGAGAAAUUGCAGGCUUGAAGCCAA
Vidua chalybeata is the source of this 519-nucleotide long non-coding RNA. RefSeq lists it as uncharacterized. The transcript has 3 exons. The record is from RefSeq and is a predicted model, not a curated record. NCBI's taxonomy places the organism in Eukaryota, Metazoa, Chordata, Aves, Passeriformes, Viduidae.